CUGAUGAGAACAUCUCUCUCUUCGUCUCCACAAGGAGCCAAGACUUUAUAUCACUCUCUCUAAAACAAAUCCAUACAAGUAUGAUUCAAACAAAAAUCAAAUGGCGAGUUGAGGAAUUUUAUGAGUGCUAAGUAUGUUUGGUGAGAGCAACAAUGGAGUUUGUGAAGAUCGUGUUUAUGUUGUCAGAUCUGAUGAGAAAAAAGUCUCUCUCUUCGUCUAAAUCUCCUUCUCUAAAACAACAAUCUCUAUUAACUCUCUCCCCUUCCAUGGAAAAUCACAGAUCUUGAAUAUAUCAUAUAUAAUCUUUUCAUAAAUUUUUCGAUCUGUCGUCUUCCAAGCCACGCGAUUCUGGUCAUCCACAAUCUUCGAGUUCGAAAUCCACGAACUGUGAAGUUUAACGCCAAAGGGGAAUCAAACCCAGGAAGAAGAUGAUCAUUCAUCCUUGGGACUCUCAAAAUUCUAACUGUAAGUUUCUUUGAUAUUGUCUCUACUCAAUUUUUUUCUGUUUAUUUCAAACACAAGUUAUAUGAAACCCAAGUUCCAUGAAACCCAAGCUAAGACCAAACAUGUUGAAGAUAGAGGUGGAUUUGUAUCCAAUCUACCAGGUGAUGUUCCUCGGGUGAAUGGUCAAUUAGCUGUGUCUCAUGCUUUUGAGAUAAGGGACUUAAGACACACUUGAGUUCAGAACCUGACAUAAAAGAAGCCACUGUAGAUAGCCAGACAGAUGUUCUUCUCGUGGCCAGUGAUGGCAUUUGGAAGGUAAUGACAAAUGAAGAGGCAAUGGAGGCUACGAUGAUCUUGAUUUGGUUAAUCUAGUGUGUCACGCUGUAUGGGCUUAUGGUAGGGUUAAUGGUGAAUUUGAUCUUACGGUGGAGAAUGAUGUCCUUUGAUAAGAAUCUUGAGAUAUUGGUUUGGAUUGGAUGAGUGUAUGGUCAUAUGUAACACGGAACGAUAUAUAACUUCUUUUACAUACUUGAUACUUAUGUCA
This is a long non-coding RNA of Arabidopsis lyrata subsp. lyrata, 988 nucleotides long. RefSeq lists it as uncharacterized. NCBI's taxonomy places the organism in Eukaryota, Viridiplantae, Streptophyta, Magnoliopsida, Brassicales, Brassicaceae. The transcript has 3 exons. The record is from RefSeq and is a predicted model, not a curated record.